RNAcentral lists this ribosomal RNA (552 nucleotides) under uncultured Articulospora. RNAcentral's name for it is "eukaryotic LSU rRNA". The stretch from base 190 to 343 matches the Rfam family "5.8S ribosomal RNA". The record is from RNAcentral. Lineage: Eukaryota; Fungi; Ascomycota; Leotiomycetes; Helotiales; Helotiaceae.
UCCGUAGGUGAACCUGCGGAAGGAUCAUUACAGAGUUCAUGCCCUCACGGGUAGAUCUCCCACCCUUGAAUAUUUAUACCUUAGUUGCUUUGGCAGGCCGUGGAAACACCAUGGGCUCCGGCUUAUGCGUGCCUGCCAGAGGAAACAAACUCUGUUUUUAGUGAUGUCUGAGUACUAUAUAAUAGUUAAAACUUUCAACAACGGAUCUCUUGGUUCUGGCAUCGAUGAAGAACGCAGCGAAAUGCGAUAAGUAGUGUGAAUUGCAGAAUUCAGUGAAUCAUCGAAUCUUUGAACGCACAUUGCGCCCCGUGGUAUUCCGCGGGGCAUGCCUGUUCGAGCGUCAUUUCAACCCAUCAAGCUUCGGCUUGGACUUGGGGCCUGCGGUUUCGCAGCCUCUAAACCCAGUGGCGGUGCUAUUGAGCUCUGAGCGUAGUAAUUUUUCUCGCUAUAGGGUCUCGGUAGUUACUUGCCAGUAACCCCCAAUUUUUAUCAGGUUGACCUCGGAUCAGGUAGGGAUACCCGCUGAACUUAAGCAUAUCAAUAAGCGGAGGA